GUGCUUGCUUCAGCAGCACGUAUACUGAAAUUGGAGUCAUAGAGAGAUGAUUAGCAUGGUCUCUCUGCAGGGAUGACAUGUACAUUUGUGAAGCAUUCCAUAUUUUU
This 107-nucleotide small nuclear RNA is filed under the name Saimiri boliviensis boliviensis (Bolivian squirrel monkey). Lineage: Eukaryota; Metazoa; Chordata; Mammalia; Primates; Cebidae. The record is from RNAcentral.